RNAcentral lists this small nuclear RNA (22 nucleotides) under Arabidopsis thaliana (thale cress). RNAcentral's name for it is "snRNA_16067". Lineage: Eukaryota; Viridiplantae; Streptophyta; Magnoliopsida; Brassicales; Brassicaceae. The record is from RNAcentral.
UGUCAGCGGACUGCUCGAGCUG